RNAcentral lists this ribosomal RNA (497 nucleotides) under uncultured bacterium. RNAcentral describes it as "partial 16S ribosomal RNA". It matches the Rfam family "Bacterial small subunit ribosomal RNA", at positions 29 to 507 of the family's 1533-position model. The record is from RNAcentral.
AACGAACGCUGGCGGCGCGUCUAAUACAUGCAAGUAGAACGCUAAAGGAGGAGCUUGCUUCUCUGGUAGAGUGGCGGACUGGUGAGUAACACGUAGGUAAUCUACCCUGUAGAUGGGGAUAACUGCUAGAAAUGGCAGCUAAUACCGCAUACAAUCGGCAUAUCCCUAGCGUUGAUUAGAAAAGGACACUACGACUUCUCUUGGAGAUGAGCUUGCGUUGUAUUAGGGAGUUGGUGGGGAAAAGGCUCACCAAGGCGACGAUAGAUAGCCGGCCUGAGAGGGUGAUCGGCCACACUGGGACUGAGACACGGCCCAGACUCCUACGGGAGGCAGCAGUAGGGGAUCUUCGGGAAUGGACGGAAGUCUGAACGAGCAACGCCGCGUGAGUGAAGAAGGUUUUCGGAUCGGAAAGCUCUGUUGUAAGAGAAGAACGAGGGUGAGAGUGGAAAGUUCACACUGUGACGGUAACUUACCAGAAAGGGACGGCUAACUACGUG